CCUACGGGAGGCAGCAGUGAGGAAUAUUGGUCAAUGGGCGCGAGCCUGAACCAGCCAAGUCGCGUGAGGGAGGACGGCCCUACGGGUUGUAAACCUCUUUUGCCGGGGAGCAACGGGCGUCACGUGUGGCGCCACUGAGAGUACCCGGAGAAAAAGCAUCGGCUAACUCCGUGCCAGCAGCCGCGGUAAUACGGAGGAUGCGAGCGUUAUCCGGAUUCAUUGGGUUUAAAGGGUGCGCAGGCGGGCCUUUAAGCCGGCGGUGAAAUCGCGGGGCUCAACCCCGCCGAGCCGUCGGAACUGGGGGCCUUGAGUGCGGCGGAGGCAUGCGGAAUGCGCGGUGUAGCGGUGAAAUGCAUAGAUAUCGCGCAGAACCCCGAUUGCGAAGGCAGCGUGCCGUGCCGCCACUGACGCUGAGGCACGAAAGCGCGGGGAUCGAACAGGAUUAGAUACCCUAGUAGUC
This 460-nucleotide ribosomal RNA is filed under the name uncultured bacterium. RNAcentral's name for it is "partial 16S ribosomal RNA". It matches the Rfam family "Bacterial small subunit ribosomal RNA", at positions 338 to 795 of the family's 1533-position model. The record is from RNAcentral.